Long non-coding RNA from Cyprinus carpio carpio, 1419 nucleotides. The record is from Ensembl. Lineage: Eukaryota; Metazoa; Chordata; Actinopteri; Cypriniformes; Cyprinidae.
UUUCAAACCUUUGCAUUUCAUGUGUCGAUUAAAAAAUCGUAUACUUAACAUAUGAAUAUGAAAAUAAAAAUGUACUUUGUAUAGAGGGAGAAAAUGGCAGUUAGAUUGUAUUCUGUUACAAUGACAAUAAUUGUCAUUAUAACAGAAAUGACUUAUUUAUCCACAGUAUAGCUCAUGUGUAAUAUUGUGGAAAAACAAUGGAAAAGCAGAGCAGUGGAACACAACGUGUUCUGGGUGAACAGCCCCUUAUUAUUCUCAUCUGUUUUACUUACUCAGAAAGGUGAUUAAAAUAGAGCUGGAUGUUUGUUUUGAGUAUUUUCCAUAAAUUAAAAAUCAUGUCACAACAGGACAAUUCUAUUUAGAUUUCAUAUUGCAUGGUUUGCAUCAAUAUUUUGACUACUAAUAUCAAAGUUUAGGCCAUUUACAUAACAUUCCAGUAGAACAUGACAAAUAUAUAUUAUUUGUGCUCUUUUUGUCACUGAAUAAUAAGGAUAUGCACUUGAAAUCAGAUAAUGCCCUUGCUUUUAAUUACAUCUUCUUGUGUUUACAUACCAAACUACCAGCACAGUUUUCAUGGGGAAUGUGUUUCUUGAUAGCCUUUCUUGCCAAGUCUAUAUGACAAAAUUAAACUAAUGAACUUUAGUUUAAUACAACAGAAGAUUGAUUCAGUAACAUCGAGUUUAAAAUGUAUUCUUAAAGGGAUAGUUCAUAAAAAAAAAAUGUAUCAUAAUAGACUCACCCCCAAGCCAUUCCAAACCUGUAUGACUUUCUUUCUUCUGUGGAUCCCAAAAACAAUAUUCUGAAAACUGUCAGUAGGGUUCAAUAUUGUUUUGACUUUCACUGAAUGGACGAAAACAUUUCUUCGGUAUAUAGAAAAUCAUACAGGUUUGGAACAACAUGAGGGUGAGAAAAUUAUGACAGCUUUUAUUUUUGAUCGAACUACACCUUUAAUUGUGUUAGAAAAAGUAAUGUCAUAUUAGUUCAGAUGACACUUUAUAACAAAACAUGAUGAUUUAAUGUCAGAAACUGUCUGAAAUGAAAUAAAUAGUCUUUAUAAAGAAAAUAAGUGCUGGUCAAACUGAUUUAUCCCACGAGUCUGCUGCAGUUGUUAUUAUAGCAUUUCUGUGACAUUGUGCACAUGCACAGUGUGAUUUGCAUUGUGCACUGAGUGACUGUGCCCAUCUGUUUCUUUAGUGGCAAGCAUGGCAACAACAACAGUGAGUAUAAGAACAGCUGAAAUCAAUACAGUGGCUACGAGUCCUUUAUUAGCCCACAGAUACUCCAACUUCUGGUUUGAUGCAGAUUCCUUACAUUUUUCCCUCUGAAAUCGAAAAGCAAACAGAACAUAUGACGAUGAUGAAUCAGCUCUUUUAACAAAGUUUAAAAUUGUAUCAGUUUCUCCUUCCACAUUAAGCCUUU